AUGAAGGUCGAAGAAGCAUUGGAAGAUCCGGAUUGGAUAAAUGCUAUGCAUGAAGAGCUACACAACUUUGAGAGGAACCAAGUUUGGACAUUGGUUGAGAAGCCCGACAACAACCACAACAUCAUCGAUACCAAAUGGGUGUUUCGCAACAAGCAAGAUGAAGAUGGACAAGUAGUUCGCAACAAAGCACGUCUCGUCGCCCAAGGCUACACACAAGUCGAAGGUAUGGACUAUGGUGAGACUUACGCCCCCAUUGCUAGACUUGAGUCCAUUCGCAUCUUACUUGCCUAUGCUAAUCACCAUGAUAUCACCUUGUACCAAAUGGACAUUAAAAGUGCUUUUCUAAAUGGUGAAAUAGAGGAGGAAGUUUAUGUUAAACAACCUCCCGAUUUUGUCAAUCCUAAGAAACCCAAUCAUGUUUACAAACUUCACAAAGCUCUUUAUGGUCUUAAACAAGCUCCUAGAGCAUGGUAUAAAUGCUUGACCAAGUUCCUUAUUGAAAAAGGCUUUGAAAUUGGGAAAAUUGAUUCUACUCUUUUUACUAAAAGGGUUAAUGGAGAACUAUUUGUGUGCCAAAUUUAUGUUGAUGAUAUUAUAUUUGGUUCAACUAACCCUCAUUUUAGUGAAAAGUUUGGGAAGCUAAUGUCGGAGAAGUUUGAGAUGUCUAUGAUGAGUGAACUCAAAUUCUUUCUUGGGUUGCAAAUCAAGCAAACUAAGGAAGGUACUUUUGUCUCUCAAACGAAGUACACCAAGGACUUAUUCAAGAAGUUCAAUAUAUAA
Molecule: ribosomal RNA, 780 nt
Filed under: Triticum aestivum (bread wheat)
Lineage: Eukaryota; Viridiplantae; Streptophyta; Magnoliopsida; Poales; Poaceae
Description: partial small subunit ribosomal RNA
Source: RNAcentral